GGGCAGUUCCUCCCCAGGCGAGCAGUCGGACAGGUCCUGGAGGGAGCAGCACAGGAAGAGGUCAUUCAGCCCAAGCAGAGCGUGUGGGCAGUUCCUCCCCAGGCGAGCAGUCGGACAGGUCCUGACUUGACGGUGAGCAGCUGAUGAAGUAUCUGGGAGUGGACAAUGAUCGGGAAAUCUUACUUCCUCCUGUCACUUCUCCAAGUUGGACUACCACAAGUGUGGAAAGGUGACACUCCACGAGAGGCGACAGCGCAGGAAGGUUCGUGUGUACAGAUUCCAUGUCAUUACAGCUACCAAUCAUAUUUAAUAGCGAGAUCACAUGUCGGAAUCUGGUAUAUGAGAAGGAUUGGGGAAAGUUGGAAUGAAUGGUCUAUAGCCUUUCACUCCGAGGAUCAUAAUCGCGAGUUACCACGGUUCCACCAUCGGACCCGGCUGUCUGGAGACCUGAAAGAUGGUGACUGUUCCCUGAUUAUAAACAACAUCAGACGGGAAGAUGCAGGAUAUUAUUUAUUCACGUUAGAAUAUGACAGCAGGAAUA
Long non-coding RNA from Carcharodon carcharias (great white shark), 541 nucleotides. RefSeq lists it as uncharacterized. The transcript is spliced from 4 exons. Lineage: Eukaryota; Metazoa; Chordata; Chondrichthyes; Lamniformes; Lamnidae. The record is from RefSeq and is a predicted model, not a curated record.